Molecule: transfer RNA, 77 nt
Filed under: Vibrio sp. SCSIO 43137
Lineage: Bacteria; Pseudomonadati; Pseudomonadota; Gammaproteobacteria; Vibrionales; Vibrionaceae
Description: tRNA-Pro
Rfam family: tRNA
About the family: Transfer RNA (tRNA) molecules are approximately 80 nucleotides in length. Their secondary structure includes four short double-helical elements and three loops (D, anti-codon, and T loops).
Source: RNAcentral
CGGGAUGUAGCUCAGCUUGGUAGAGCACUGCGCUGGGGGCGCAGUGGUCGCACGUUCAAAUCGUGUCAUCCCGACCA